GGCGACGUGGGCGGUUCGCUGCCCGCGACGUUGUGAGAAGUCCACUGAAACCUUAUCAUUUAGAGGAAGGAGAAGUCGUAACAAGGUUUCCGUAGGUGAACCUGCGGAAGGAUCAUUG
RNAcentral lists this ribosomal RNA (118 nucleotides) under Astragalus brachyodontus. Its description in RNAcentral is "partial 18S ribosomal RNA". It matches the Rfam family "Eukaryotic small subunit ribosomal RNA", at positions 1700 to 1831 of the family's 1831-position model. Lineage: Eukaryota; Viridiplantae; Streptophyta; Magnoliopsida; Fabales; Fabaceae. The record is from RNAcentral.